GCUAGGCGUGGUGGCGCAUGCCUGUAAUCCCAGCGGUUGGGGAGGCUGAGACAGGAGGAUCAUGGGUUCAAAGCCAGCCUCAACAAUGGUGAGGUGCUAAGCAACUCAGUAAGACCCUGUCUCUA
RNAcentral lists this small RNA (125 nucleotides) under Marmota monax (woodchuck). Lineage: Eukaryota; Metazoa; Chordata; Mammalia; Rodentia; Sciuridae. The record is from RNAcentral.